AUCUAAAUAGUUUAAGUAAAAUGUUGGUUUGUGGUGCCGAUGAUAUGAGUUUUUGUUUUAGAUC
RNAcentral lists this transfer RNA (64 nucleotides) under Odontotermes sp. C TB-2017. RNAcentral describes it as "tRNA-His". The record is from RNAcentral. Lineage: Eukaryota; Metazoa; Arthropoda; Insecta; Blattodea; Termitidae.